Molecule: unclassified non-coding RNA, 338 nt
Filed under: soil metagenome
Description: partial contains 5.8S ribosomal RNA, internal transcribed spacer 2, and large subunit ribosomal RNA
Rfam family: 5.8S ribosomal RNA (bases 4-119)
Source: RNAcentral
GAUAAGAACGUAGCGAAAUGCGAUAAGUAGUGUGAAUUGCAGAAUUCAGUGAAUCAUCGAAUCUUUGAACGCACAUUGCGCCCCUCGGUAUUCCGUGGGGCAUGCCUGUUCGAGCGUCAUUUAACCCCUCAAGCCUAGCUUGGUAUUGGGUGCUUGUCCCGCCUCUCGCGCGGCGACUCACCUCAAAGUCAUUGGCAGCCCGCAUCUCGCCGGCCGUGAGCGCAGCACAGACGCGCUCUUGGCAACGACGGAUCGGCUCUCCAAAAGCUUAUUUCAACCACUGACCUCGGAUCAGGUAGGGAUACCCGCUGAACUUAAGCAUAUCAAUAAGCGGAGGA